NNNNNNNNNNNNNNNNNNNNNNNNNNNNNNNNNNNNNNNNNNNNNNCCCCGCCUGCAGCACUGCUGCUGCGCCCCGCAGUGCCCCGCUGCGCCGCACUGCGCCGCACACUGCGGGGCACGACGCUGCACCCUGCACCUGCCCGCUGCACCCACAGCACUGCACGCGGCGCCACAAAGUGAACGCACUGCAGAGCUCUGCGCUGCACCGCAUGCACCGCGCACUGAAGGCGCGUCACGCUGCACAUGCACUGCACACCCAGUGUACAUGCUGCGUGCACUGUGCAGGCCCCACUGCAACAGUUGCAAUGUGACAGCCACAAUACACCACACUGCACACACUGUGCAGCAGUCACGCUGAACAACCUGCACGCAGACUGCAGUGACACACACGGCACCACACUACAUGCAUGUUGCAACACACCACAACAGGCCCACUGGAACACACUGCAACAGUCACAUAUGCACUGCGACAUUCCUUGCAACACUGCAACACACAGCAGCACUCACACGCACUGCAAUACGCACCGCAUCACUUGCACACCCUGCAGCGUGUGGCAACACUCACGUUGUAACACACUGCAACAGGCAACGCUCACCGACGCUGCACUGUGCUGCAGUAUGCAGUGCAGCAUGCAACACCGCAGCAGCCACAUACAGGGGAGCGCGCGCACUGCAACACGCUGCGCGCACUGCAGCACUCGCGGCGGGACACCCUCCAAGAGCGCAGAACUCCCCGGCUGUCGCGUACUGCAGGUCACACGCUGCCGCACUCGCACUGCGGUGGCUGUGCACCCAGCAGUGCAGUUGCACUCAACAGCACACUGUAACGCACACUGCAGCACUCACACGCUGCACCACACUGCACACAGAUUGCAGCACACCCGCUGCAGCACACACUGCAACCUGUUGUGCUGCAACUUACACUGCAACAGGCAACAUGGUGCUGCAGCCGCAUGCGGGGCAACACAUAGAGUACACCGCAGCACCCACUGCAGAGCGCGCUUGACCACACUGCAAAACUCACACAUGCACUGUAGCACACUGCGGGCCACACACACCACAGGAGCAGCAACACUGCGAUGCCCCUGCACAGGCUGCAGUGUGCACUGCAGCACUCAGGCAGCGGAGGCCUGCACACUGCAAUGCACCCUGCGGCGCUGCACUGCUGUGCCCCUGCACACUGUGGUGUGCACCACAGCACUGGCACUGCUGUAGGCGUGCACACUGCAAUGCACCCUGCAGCACAGGCCACACACACCACAGGAGCAGCAACACUGCGAUGCCCCUGCACAGGCUGCAGUGUGCACUGCAGCACUCAGGCAGCGGAGGCCUGCACACUGCAAUGCACCCUGCGGCGCUGCACUGCUGUGCCCCUGCACACUGUGGUGUGCACCACAGC
Molecule: long non-coding RNA, 1399 nt
Filed under: Struthio camelus australis
Lineage: Eukaryota; Metazoa; Chordata; Aves; Struthioniformes; Struthionidae
Description: lncRNA (ENSSCUG00000005262.1)
Source: RNAcentral